RNAcentral lists this ribosomal RNA (48 nucleotides) under Tetradium ruticarpum. RNAcentral describes it as "partial 18S ribosomal RNA". It matches the Rfam family "Eukaryotic small subunit ribosomal RNA", at positions 1784 to 1831 of the family's 1831-position model. The record is from RNAcentral. Lineage: Eukaryota; Viridiplantae; Streptophyta; Magnoliopsida; Sapindales; Rutaceae.
AGAAGUCGUAACAAGGUUUCGUAGGUGAACCUGCGGAAGGAUCAUUGU